UAGUCGGGCCGGACCGGCGCGACGGUGGGUAACGCGUAUCCAACCUGCCCUUUACUAUGGGACAGCCCGUCGAAAGGCGGAUUAAUACCGUAUGUUGUCAUGUUGAUGCAUAUUUUCAUGACCAAAGGCUUCGGCCGGUAAAGGAUGGGGAUGCGUCUGAUUAGCUUGCCGGCGGGGUAACGGCCCACCGGGGCGACGAUCAGUAGGGGUUCUGAGAGGAAGGUCCCCCACAUUGGAACUGAGACACGGUCCAAACUCCUACGGAAGGCAGCAG
RNAcentral lists this ribosomal RNA (274 nucleotides) under uncultured bacterium. Its description in RNAcentral is "partial 16S ribosomal RNA". It matches the Rfam family "Bacterial small subunit ribosomal RNA", at positions 81 to 354 of the family's 1533-position model. The record is from RNAcentral.